RNAcentral lists this transfer RNA (63 nucleotides) under Appias remedios. Its description in RNAcentral is "tRNA-His". RNAcentral also lists the same sequence under 1 other name. Lineage: Eukaryota; Metazoa; Arthropoda; Insecta; Lepidoptera; Pieridae. The record is from RNAcentral.
ACUUAAAUAAUUUAAAUAAAAUAUUGAUUUGUGGAAUCAAAUAUAUGGUCUCCAUUUUAGGUU